UCUCCUCCUUUACAUCAAAGCUAAUUGACAUUAUUAGUUUAGAAUCCUAUUUUGUAUCACUGUACAUGAACUGUUGAAGUAUAUAUUAUGGUAUGAUGUUAGAAUGAACACAUAAUUUUACAUGUUCAACAAGUUUAUGUAUCAGAUAUAAAACUAAUUGUGUGCUCUGGUCCAUCGUCCACAUUGUCACUUGUUCCUACUAUUUGUCCAACUUGGGUUUCUCUACCAAGGAUGCACAUUUUUCAUGAAUCUGGCUUGCUUUUUGACAGCCAAUAAUUUAAUUUUCACUUCAUGAAUUGUUUACAAGUGAUAUUGGUGCUUAUGAGAUUUAUGCACAAAUUCUCAUGUUGAGUGGUCAUAUUGUUGUUCCCAAUGGAGACAUAUGCGCUUGUUGAUGUUUAAGUCUUUAUGUACAGGUUUUUGAAGAAUUUGAUCAUGUCCCUAUAGAAAGUGCUUCCCUUGCACAAGUUCAUGUUGCUUGUACGCAUGAUGGCAAAAAGUUGCUGUUAAGGUUCAGUAUACUCACAUGACUGAUACUGCGGCUGCAAAUCAUGCCACUGUGGAGCUGAUUGUGAAUACCCUUCAUAAGUUUUUUCCUUCUUUUGACUAUAGAUGGUUGCUUGAUGAAAUGCAUGAAAGUUUGCCCAAGGUCAACUACUUGUUUAUUGCAAAUACCGUUGCUAUGUAAUUGAACUUCUGUAGACUUGUUAGAAAUGAAAUUCCUCUAGGUUUCUAUUUUCAAUUAUUUGAAAUGAACUUCUGUUGCUACGUAAAUGAACUUCUGUAGACUUGUUAGAAUGAAUUGUGCUAUUGACUUUGGGUAUUGGAAGACCAUAGGAAAUUAUAGACCUAUUCACUACAAUAGUUAAGGUGUGGGGAUGAUAAAGACACUGGCUUUCCACCAAGGUAAAGCUCCAAAAGGUGACCGAACUGAUUGGUUAUGCAUUUUUGUUUUUGGUUAUGCACA
Molecule: RNA transcript, 967 nt
Organism: Pistacia vera
Lineage: Eukaryota; Viridiplantae; Streptophyta; Magnoliopsida; Sapindales; Anacardiaceae
Exons: 3
Source: RefSeq, a predicted model, not a curated record